GACGAACGCUGGCGGCGCGCUUAACACAUGCAAGUCGAGCGAGAACCAGGCCUUCGGGCCGUGGGGACAGCGGCGAACGGGUGAGUAACACGUGGGUAAUCUGCCCUCGAUACUGGGAUAGCCCGGGGAAACCCGGAUUAAAUACCGGAUGGCCCCUUCGAGUCUUUCGGACUUGAAGGAAAAGGUAAGCUUCGGCCUCCGAUCGAGGAUGAGCCCGCGGCGGAUUAGCUUGUUGGUGAGGUAACGGCUCACCAAGGCGACGAUCCGUAGCUGGUCUGAGAGGACGAUCAG
This 291-nucleotide ribosomal RNA is filed under the name uncultured bacterium. RNAcentral's name for it is "partial 16S ribosomal RNA". It matches the Rfam family "Bacterial small subunit ribosomal RNA", at positions 28 to 307 of the family's 1533-position model. The record is from RNAcentral.